RNAcentral lists this long non-coding RNA (152 nucleotides) under Mustela putorius furo (domestic ferret). RNAcentral's name for it is "lncRNA (ENSMPUG00000026505.1)". Lineage: Eukaryota; Metazoa; Chordata; Mammalia; Carnivora; Mustelidae. The record is from RNAcentral.
CGGAGCCAGAGAGUAAGUGCAAGAUGGAAGCCACCAUUAUUGAAACGUAAUCUUGGAAGGAGCAUACAAAAUGACAUCACUCCUACCAUAUUCUGCUACGUAAAAUCCUAUAUGACAAAUUCUGAAAAUGGAUUUCAUCAUGGGCUCCUCCU